This 332-nucleotide ribosomal RNA is filed under the name uncultured Lachnospiraceae bacterium. RNAcentral describes it as "bacterial SSU rRNA". It matches the Rfam family "Bacterial small subunit ribosomal RNA", at positions 355 to 703 of the family's 1533-position model. The record is from RNAcentral. Lineage: Bacteria; Bacillati; Bacillota; Clostridia; Lachnospirales; Lachnospiraceae.
UGGGGAAUAUUGCACAAUGGGGGGAAACCCUGAUGCAGCGACGCCGCGUGAGCGAAGAAGUAUUUCGGUAUGUAAAGCUCUAUCAGCAGGGAAGAUAAUGACGGUACCUGACUAAGAAGCCCCGGCUAACUACGUGCCAGCAGCCGCGGUAAUACGUAGGGGGCAAGCGUUAUCCGGAUUUACUGGGUGUAAAGGGAGCGUAGACGGCAAGGCAAGUCUGAUGUGAAAACCCAGGGCUUAACCCUGGGACUGCAUUGGAAACUGUCUGGCUCGAGUGCCGGAGAGGUAAGCGGAAUUCCUAGUGUAGCGGUGAAAUGCGUAGAUAUUAGGAA